UUGGUGGCAAACCUUGCCGAAGAAAAAAAAAGUAGCAUAGACAGGCAGAAGAGAACCAGGUCGGUCGUCUCCAGAGGGGGUCGGUCGCUACGAUUUCCAGAGAAGGGGGAAGGGCGUCGGUCGCUGUGAUUUUAAGGGGAUUCGAUGCUGUGAUUUGAAGGGGAUUCGUGUGAGAGAGAUUGGGAAGGUAAAGGGGAUGCCUGGAUUGCUUGGCGGAAGGAGGGGACCCAACGGACGCGGGAGGUCGACGCCAUGACUCUUGGUAUGAGGAAACUGCUCCGCAGCGAUUUGAAGACGCAAUAAAUCUUCAGUUUCUCUACACACAAUCAUGGCUGGUGAUGUGCCCAUCCUUUCCGCUGCCUCACGGUACAAGUGUUUCAUGUUUGCUGUGGUCGAUUGAUUUGGGCAGUUCUUGGAGACUGUACUCGCAAUUUUUUUACUUCGGCUGCUCACCAUCAUCCAUGGCUUCUGCACAGGUAACUCAUCUUUGUGGAAAUAUAUCCAAUUCUGAUUAACUCCCUUCCCAACAGGAAGAAGUAAGAGAAUUCAGUGAGUUGGUUUUCAGGCCAAUUUGCAUCUAUCAGAUCUGAAGCCAUCCCUCGGCGUGUCACUGCGCUUGCACGCGUAGCUCUUGUAUGAGGUCCCUAGAUGGACAUUGAACGCAUCUUGACAUCGUCUUUGUUGAUGAACAUGCCUACUAAAAACUUAUUAGGUGUAUUCUUUGUACAUAAUGUAACUUCCUUGUGUUUAAUACUGAUCUUAUAUAGAAACAAUAUGUAUGGAGAGGUACAUGUGAUUGAAUACAAAAACUAUUCAGGGAAAACUCAAGGAGGGCAAUGUUUUCCUCAUCAACAAUUCCUUUGUGAAAUUAGCAAAGAACAUGUAUAAGGCUGUGGAAGCAAGUUCCAUGAAAAUAACUCCAUGGUCGAAGGUUUAGUCGCAGCGUUGACCCUAUUAAUUAUCCUGAUUAUGCAUGUUCACUCACCGAUUUUAUACCUCUACCCUCUAUGGUUGGAAAGACAGACUCCUUUAUAGGCAAGGAAAAUCUACUUUAGUGCAGGCACAAUUAUUUCUUUGUUUCCUCCACUUUGCUGCUUUACUAUCUUUCUGGUCCAUUAUCAUGCUCAUGUUUCAAUGUACAGAUGUCGGAAUAGUUUCAGUGAUUUCAUAUCUCUUUUAAGGUUUGACUGCCUGCUUGAGCCCAGGAUCCUGACAAAAGUAACCUCCAGAUAACAUAUAUUGAGUAAGAAUUCUCAUCUAAAUUACGAGGCCAUCUAUUAUCUUCCAACUUUCAUAAGAGUCACGAGACUAUCUCUCACUAUAUUAGCUGAAUUGCAUGUACUUAGUGUAUAUAAUCAGGUCUCACAUUACCGACUACCUUGUCAUUAUCAUAAUUGUCGGCGACAAGUUAUAACUAAAAGUAACUAUAUUUGUGAUCUCUGAACUUUUCCAAUGACAGGUGAACACUAGCUAGCACCAACAGAACUGAGAUAUGUUAAUCUCUCGUGCAAAUGGUCACAUACUUAGUACACCAGUAUAGUCCUCUCAACUUAUAAAGUACUUUAUUUCUUCACUGCACCAACAUAUCUCAAAAAUUUAUGGGCAAAAAACGCCACUGCCAGCCAGCCACAGACACCGGAUGAUCCAAAUUGCACUUGUCAAUAAUGCUCACAAACAAGAAAAAGGAAAAAAGAUCUGCAACUGAUACAAUCAAGACAUUUGCUUCGAAAAAGAAAAUUCAUCUCCUUGAGCAAAGAUUGGCUCAUCUACUUUGGGCGCUACUCCCUCCGUCUGAAAAUACUUGUCAUCAAAAUGAAUAAAAAAGGAUGUAUCUAGAACUAAAAUAUGUCUAGAUACAUCCCCUUUUAUUCAUUUUGAUGACAAGUAUUUCCGGACGGAGGGAGUAUUAAAUAAAUGGAGACGUUCUGCGUGUGACCAGUGACCACCCUUUUUGGACAUUUUACUGAUGUCGUCUGCCUGCGACAACUAUCACCGAUUUACGUGAUAAGACUUUGUGUUUGCCAAAUCCAACUUAUCUGUGCUGUGUUUUCAGAGAA
Molecule: long non-coding RNA, 2057 nt
Organism: Triticum urartu
Lineage: Eukaryota; Viridiplantae; Streptophyta; Magnoliopsida; Poales; Poaceae
Source: RefSeq, a predicted model, not a curated record